This 434-nucleotide ribosomal RNA is filed under the name uncultured bacterium. RNAcentral describes it as "partial 16S ribosomal RNA". It matches the Rfam family "Bacterial small subunit ribosomal RNA", at positions 29 to 507 of the family's 1533-position model. The record is from RNAcentral.
AGCGAACGCUGGCGGCAUGCCUAACACAUGCAAGUCGAACGAACCUUGCGGGGUUAUUGGCGGACGGGAGCGUAACACGUGGGAACGUGCCUUUGUGUUCGGAAUAACUCAGGGACACUUGUGCUAAUACCGAAUGUGCUCUUCUAGGGAAAGAGUAAUGGCCGUUAGAGCGGCCCGCGUCUGAUUAGCUAGUUGGUUGAGGUAAUGGCUCACCAAGGCGACGGUCAGUAACUGGUCUGAGAGGAUGCUCAGCCACAUUGGGACUGAGACACGGCCCAAACUCCUACGGGAGGGAGCAGUGGGGAAUCUUGCGGAAUGGGCGAUAGUGUGACGCAGCCGUGCCGCGUGAAUGAUGAAGGUCUUAGGAUUGUAAAAUUCUUUGGGCGGGGACGAUAAUGACGGUACCCGGAGAAGAAGCCCCGGCUAACUUCGUG